UGUUGAUGGGUAGGAGAGCGUCGUGUGGCCAGCGAAGCGGCGGUGUGAACCAGCCGUGGAGGCUACACGAGUGAGAAUGCAGGCAUGAGUAGCGAAAGACAUGUGAGAAACAUGUCCUCCGAAAGACCAAGGGUUCCAGGGUCAAGCUAAUCUUCCCUGGGUAAGUCGGGACCUAAGGCGAGGCCGACAGGCGUAGUCGAUGGACAACGGGUUGAUAUUCCCGUACCGGCGAAGAACCGCCCAAGCUAAUCCAGUAGUGCUAAGUGUCUGAAUCCCACUGACGGAUCCCUUCGGGGUGAAGCGUUGGGCCUAGCGCACGACCCCAUUCUGGUGCGGUUAGCGUAUUAACAGGUGUGACGCAGGAAGGUAGCCCAACCCGGGCGAUGGUUGUCCCGGGGCAAGUGCGUAGGCCGAGAGAUAGGCAAAUCCGUCUCUCAUUAAGGCUGAGACACGAUGCGGAUAAAAAGUGGGUGAUCCUAUGCUGCCAAGAAAAGCAUCGACGCGAGGUUCUAGCCGCCCGUACCCCAAACCGACUCAGGUGGUCAGGUAGAGAAUACCAAGGAGAUCGAGAGAAUCGUGGUUAAGGAACUCGGCAAAAUGCCCCCGUAACUUCGGGAGAAGGGGGGCCAUCCCUUUAUUAGGACUUGCUCCGAAAGGGUGUGGUGGCCGCAGAGACUAGUGGGUAGCGACUGUUUAUUAAAAACACAGGUCCGUGCCAAGUCGCAAGACGAUGUAUACGGACUGACGCCUGCCCGGUGCUGGAAGGUUAAGAGGACCGGUUAGCCGCAAGGCGAAGCUGAGAAUUUAAGCCCCAGUAAACGGCGGUGGUAACUAUAACCAUCCUAAGGUAGCGAAAUUCCUUGUCGGGUAAGUUCCGACCUGCACGAAUGGCGUAACGACUUCCCAACUGUCUCAACCGCGAACCCGGCGAAAUUGCACUACGAGUAAAGAUGCUCGUUACGCGCAGCAGGACGGAAAGACCCCGUGACCUUUACUACAGCUUGGUAUUGGUGUUCGGUGUGGCUUGUGUAGGAUAGGUGGGAGACUGUGAAGCGGUGACGCCAGUUACCGUGGAGUCAUUGUUGAAAUACCACUCUGGUCACUCUGGAUAUCUAACUUCGAACCGUAAUCCGGUUCAGGGACAGUGCCUGGUGGGUAGUUUAACUGGGGCGGUUGCCUCCCAAAAAGUAACGGAGGCGCCCAAAGGUUCCCUCAACCUGGUUGGCAAUCAGGUGGCGAGUGUAAGUGCACAAGGGAGCUUGACUGUGAGACUGACAGGUCGAGCAGGGACGAAAGUCGGGACUAGUGAUCCGGCAGUGGCUUGUGGAAGCGCUGUCGCUCAACG
Molecule: ribosomal RNA, 1345 nt
Filed under: metagenome
Description: bacterial LSU rRNA
Rfam family: Bacterial large subunit ribosomal RNA
Source: RNAcentral